This is a long non-coding RNA of Pezoporus flaviventris, 566 nucleotides long. RefSeq lists it as uncharacterized. The record is from RefSeq and is a predicted model, not a curated record. The transcript has 4 exons. Lineage: Eukaryota; Metazoa; Chordata; Aves; Psittaciformes; Psittacidae.
CUUGGGUUUCAUCUGCCCCAGGGUAGGUUUUGCUGUCAAUUCUCAUUGACACAAACCCCUUGGACCAGCAGCCAGCUUCUGAUGGGAGGAAGAAGGCGAGAGCCAGGUCCCAAAGACAUCUGCCAAGAUGACAGCUUAUCCAAACAGGAAUCACAACCAUCUCUCUGAACGUUCAGCCUGAAGGAAGCUGGAGGGAUCCCACAUUGUGAACUAAACCACCAGGACGAUAUCCAUCAUGCAUGCUCUGAAAGUCACAAAUUGUUCACUGGGAAAUUGCAGCUUCAGAUGGGGUAGAGCUACAUCGUGCUGUUAGUUUAUGAACCAGUGUCACCAGUGGAGCUCGGUUACUUCCACCAGCUGAAGUGUUGGCCUUCUCUAUGUUUUUAUGACCUUUCUCAUUGUUCUUGAUUGCUUGAUGAAGACAAUAUAUUCCUUCCUUUGUGUAAGUGACCUGUGAUGUCUUUUGUUCUCCUUUUUAACAAGUUAAAAUCCAGAACAGAAGUCAUCACUGGCAUAGCAGCUCUCUUGGGAUAAGGGAGGGGAGUACUCCAGGGAGAGAGAACAGU